Molecule: ribosomal RNA, 372 nt
Filed under: Micronecta sp. WCW-2003
Lineage: Eukaryota; Metazoa; Arthropoda; Insecta; Hemiptera; Micronectidae
Description: eukaryotic LSU rRNA
Rfam family: Eukaryotic large subunit ribosomal RNA
Source: RNAcentral
UCUUGAAACACGGACCAAGGAGUCUAACGUGCGCGCGAGUCGUCGGGACGACGCUCGUUUAAUCCCGUGGGCGCAAUGAGAGUGAAGGGAAGGCCGGCCUUUCGGGGCCGGCCGGCCCGAGGGAAGACGCGGGCGCGGUCCUAACCGGGCCCGUCCGAAGCACUCCCGGGGCGCCUCGAUCUUUCCGCAAGGCCAGGCGAGGCGCACCUAGAGCGCGCACGUUGGGACCCGAAAGAUGGUGAACUAUGCCCGGCCAGGACGAAGUCAGGGGAAACCCUGAUGGAGGUCCGCAGCGAUUCUGACGUGCAAAUCGAUCGUCUGAGCUGGGUAUAGGGGCGAAAGACUAAUCGAACCAUCUAGUAGCUGGUUCCU